This 432-nucleotide ribosomal RNA is filed under the name marine sediment metagenome. RNAcentral describes it as "LSU rRNA". It matches the Rfam family "Archaeal large subunit ribosomal RNA", at positions 2545 to 2930 of the family's 2987-position model. The record is from RNAcentral.
AACGGAGUUGUCGUGGGUAAGAGUUCAUAUCGACCUCACGGCUUGCUACCUCGAUGUCGGCUCUUCCUAGCUUGGUGGUGAUUCAGCCGCCAAGAGUGGGGUUGUACGCCCAUUAAAAGGGAACGUGAGCUGGGUUUAGACCGUUGUGAGACAGGUCGGAUUCUAUCUGAUGGUGCUAGCGGGCGAUUGAGAGUAAAGUCUCCACAGUACGAGAGGAACAGGCGGCUGGGGCCUCUGGUGUACCGGUUGUCCUUAAGGGCAUUGCCGGGUAGCUAAGCCCUCGACGAUAAGAGCGGAAAGCAUCUACGCUCGAAGCGUCUCUCGAAACGAGUCGCCCACUCUGCUACAUCAUAAGGGGGUUGGUGACAACAACCUUCGUAGUAGACGAGAGCGCGGAAAGAAGAUCCGUUUGAUAGAGCAGGGGUGUACGCG